UGAUGACCGGCGUCAUUACUUGAGAAAAUCUAAUUCACUCAACCCAUCUUUUACUCGUCAUCGCCGUCUCCUCUCCCCCUCUUCACCUUCUUCUUUGAAACUCAUUUUCUCUUCUUAUUCUCUCUUUUUCUUUCUUCUUUUUCGUUCUUCUUUUCUGCUCUUCUUCAGUUGAAAAUCGAGAGGUCAAAUUGAGGUAUGGCUUGAAGAAAUUUAUAUCGUGAGGAUAUAUAAAAGAAACAGGAGUUGGUGUUUCCGCUAAUUAUGAAGAAUAGGAUUGAGUCCUGUUAUGAAUCGAGAACUAGGGUUUCCUCAGUGAAUCGGUAAUUGAGUUAGAAAUUGAGAAAUUAAAGUGGGUUUGGUGAAAACAGUAUGAUGAGGAAGAAAUUAGUGAUUGAUGUGCGAGUUUUAAUGAAGAUUAGAGAAGCUAGGGUUUCUGUUCUUUCCCAAUAUAGAUAUUAGGGUUCUUGGAUGUAAUUGAAUCAAGUGACUGAAACUGAAAUUGAGGUUUUAGGGGAAAGAUUAGAGAUGGGAAUGUUUGAUUUGAAAAAUUUGAGGCCGUGGUGGUGGUAGAGGCAGAGGAGGCAGCAAAGAAGGAGGUCGUGGUGGAAUGGAAGGUGGUAGUAAAGUGAUUGAGUACAGAGUCUAGAAUCCUUUUAGAUCAAAGCUUGCUGCUGCUGUACUUGGUGGUGUUGACAAUCUGAUUUCUCCAGAUUUGCUGAAACAGAUACUCAAGAUCAGCUAAAUUAAUCAAUCAGUGGUGGGAGAACAACAUAUUUCAAUUCAAUUAAAACAGCAUAAUGAUUUAUCUUAUCAAAACAAUUGCAUCACUUCUACUUGCGCCUCCGCCUGUAUCAGAAUAGCUAUUAUCACAACUACAUGCCGAACCGCAGCGGACAUCAAUUCCAUUAGCGGCAUCAUACCUGUAAACCCUCUUCCACUUCAAUGAUCGAGAUUGAUUUGAACAUUUUUCUUCAAUAAAUCUUUCAAGCAAACAAGUGACGAAAUCAGAAGACUAAUUGCACUUUGAGCAUCAACUAUCGGUGGUCUUGGACGGUGCCCUCUGCUCCAACGAUCAAAUAGACAUCAAACCUGCAGUUUCAGGAUUGACGGGGGGAAAUUGUAAGCUACAAUUCAAUGGCAUUAUGAAUCCUAUCAAAAAAAUUGGAUGUAUAAUUCUACCACUACCGCUUCCGGCGGCCGCCUCUUACACUUAUCACUAUUACCACAAAUACCACCAGCAUCACAACUCCCAUCAGCAACAUCUAUAGAUGCUCAAAGAAGAUUAGGUUGAUGAUCAUGCUGUAGAAAUUGAAAGGCCCCCUAAACACCAAAUUGGAAGCAAGAGGAGAAUCAUGUUUGGAUUUCGAGGGUGUUCUCUGCUUAUUUUUAAUAGUCAAAUAAAUAGAAAUUUCUUCGAUUGAUCUAAACACCAAAUUAAUUGCAGUUUCAGGCCAUGCCAACAGAUUUGAAUUGCAAGAUCCAGUUCUUGACUGUUUGAACUCGAGCAUCCAGUGCAUGUUGUCUUAGAGUAUUAGCUUAACUGAUACAAGGGUUCAUGUUCGCCCAAAAGAGAGGAUGGUUGAUGCUCAUGCUGUGGAAGAUGAUGUAGAUUUAGAGGGAAAUCAAGUUUGACUUUGAGGACUCUAUCUGUUUAAUGUCAUAAGCCAAAUACAAGUUGGUUAGCUUAAUCGAAACACCAAACUGCUGUUUAAGGGGAAGAUUUUUUGUUGAUGUUCUGUUCAUGGUACUUCUGGUGAUGAAGAAAUGGAUGACAUGAUGGGUGCUGGUUGUGUAUUCUGUAGGCUUUUGGUUUGAGGUUAUUGCACUGAAUUGCUGAGAGCUUCGCACAGGUGGAAUGGCUGAAUAAGUUGCAUCUAGAGACUCACAACAAGAGAAGAUGAUGGCGUGCUGAGCAGUUGAGGAUUAUUGGUGCUGAUUCUGUAGUAGCUAGGAUUGUUGGGUAUCCUUCUACUUUUGCAGCCUAAACUUUGACAACAAAACCAGAUCUAGAAAAUACGGUAUCAGGUCGCAACAGUAUGAAUCUUAGUGAGUUUCAGAAGAAGCAUGAUGUAGCCUUCAAAGCUUUAAGUAUUUGGUAAGAAGAAGCAUGAUGUAGCCUUUGAACUUAAAGUAUGUUAAAGAGCUUGUAAUUUUUUUUUUAAAGAAAUGAGAUUGUAUUUUCAUUUAAUUUUUGUAAAAUGAGAUUGUAAUUUUCCUGAUUAACAAUUGUUGUUGUAAAUUGAAUUUAAUGAUAAUAAAUUAAAUUAAUUUUGCAUUUA
Molecule: long non-coding RNA, 2279 nt
Organism: Papaver somniferum (opium poppy)
Lineage: Eukaryota; Viridiplantae; Streptophyta; Magnoliopsida; Ranunculales; Papaveraceae
Exons: 6
Source: RefSeq, a predicted model, not a curated record